RNAcentral lists this transfer RNA (74 nucleotides) under Chloroflexota bacterium. Its description in RNAcentral is "Chloroflexi bacterium tRNA-Val". It matches the Rfam family "tRNA". Rfam says of the family: Transfer RNA (tRNA) molecules are approximately 80 nucleotides in length. Their secondary structure includes four short double-helical elements and three loops (D, anti-codon, and T loops). Further hydrogen bonds mediate the characteristic L-shaped molecular structure. tRNAs have two regions of fundamental functional importance: the anti-codon, which is responsible for specific mRNA codon recognition, and the 3' end, to which the tRNAs corresponding amino acid is attached (by aminoacyl-tRNA synthetases). tRNAs cope with the degeneracy of the genetic code in two manners: having more than one tRNA (with a specific anti-codon) for a particular amino acid; and 'wobble' base-pairing, i.e. permitting non-standard base-pairing at the 3rd anti-codon position. Lineage: Bacteria; Bacillati; Chloroflexota. RNAcentral also lists the same sequence under 1 other name. The record is from RNAcentral.
GGGCGGGUAGCUCAGUUGGUUAGAGCAUCGCGUUGACAUCGCGAAGGUCGUAGGUUCGAGCCCUAUUCCGCCCA